This 373-nucleotide ribosomal RNA is filed under the name uncultured bacterium. Its description in RNAcentral is "bacterial SSU rRNA". It matches the Rfam family "Bacterial small subunit ribosomal RNA", at positions 28 to 402 of the family's 1533-position model. The record is from RNAcentral.
GACGAACGCUGGCGGCGUGCUUAACACAUGCAAGUCGAGCGGUAAGGCCCUUUCGGGGGUACACGAGCGGCGAACGGGUGAGUAACACGUGGGUGACCUGCCCUCAGCUCUGGGAUAAGCCUGGGAAACUGGGUCUAAUACCGGAUAUGACUCCAUGACGCAUGUUGUGGGGUGGAAAGCCUUGUGCGGCUGAGGAUGGGCCCGCGGCCUAUCAGCUUGUUGGUGGGGUGAGGGCCUACCAAGGCGACGACGGGUAGCCGGCCUGAGAGGGCGACCGGCCACACUGGGACUGAGACACGGCCCAGACUCCUACGGGAGGCAGCAGUGGGGAAUCUUGCGCAAUGGGCGAAAGCCUGACGCAGCGACGCCGCGU